This 19-nucleotide microRNA is filed under the name Homo sapiens (human). RNAcentral describes it as "hsa-miR-4307". Lineage: Eukaryota; Metazoa; Chordata; Mammalia; Primates; Hominidae. The record is from miRBase by way of RNAcentral.
AAUGUUUUUUCCUGUUUCC